RNAcentral lists this transfer RNA (85 nucleotides) under Felis catus (domestic cat). It matches the Rfam family "tRNA". From Rfam's summary of the family: Transfer RNA (tRNA) molecules are approximately 80 nucleotides in length. Their secondary structure includes four short double-helical elements and three loops (D, anti-codon, and T loops). Lineage: Eukaryota; Metazoa; Chordata; Mammalia; Carnivora; Felidae. The record is from Rfam by way of RNAcentral.
GCCUGGGUGGCUCAGUCAGUUAAGCAUCCGACUUCAGCUCAGGUCAUGAUCUUGUGAUUCAUGGGUUCGAACCCCAUAUCGGGCU